This 460-nucleotide ribosomal RNA is filed under the name uncultured bacterium. RNAcentral describes it as "partial 16S ribosomal RNA". It matches the Rfam family "Bacterial small subunit ribosomal RNA", at positions 338 to 795 of the family's 1533-position model. The record is from RNAcentral.
CCUACGGGAGGCAGCAGUGAGGAAUAUUGGUCAAUGGACGAGAGUCUGAACCAGCCAAGUAGCGUGAAGGAUGACUGCCCUAUGGGUUGUAAACUUCUUUUAUAUGGGAAUAAAACGUUCCACGUGUGGGAUUUUGUAUGUACCAUAUGAAUAAGGAUCGGCUAACUCCGUGCCAGCAGCCGCGGUAAUACGGAGGAUCCGAGCGUUAUCCGGAUUUAUUGGGUUUAAAGGGAGCGUAGGUGGAUUGUUAAGUCAGUUGUGAAAGUUUGCGGCUCAACCGUAAAAUUGCAGUUGAAACUGGCAGUCUUGAGUACAGUAGAGGUGGGCGGAAUUCGUGGUGUAGGGGUGAAAUGCUUAGAUAUCACGAAGAACUCCGAUUGCGAAGGCAGUUCACUGGACUGCAACUGACACUGAGGCUCGAAAGUGUGGGUAUCAAACAGGAUUAGAUACCCGUGUAGUC